Molecule: ribosomal RNA, 497 nt
Filed under: uncultured bacterium
Lineage: Bacteria
Description: partial 16S ribosomal RNA
Rfam family: Bacterial small subunit ribosomal RNA
Source: RNAcentral
GAUGAACGCUGGCGGCGUGCCUAAUACAUGCAAGUCGAGCGAACAGACGAGGAGCUUGCUCCUCUGACGUUAGCGGCGGACGGGUGAGUAACACGUGGAUAACCUACCUAUAAGAAUGGGAUAACUUCGGGAAACCGGAGCUCAUACCGGAUAAUAUAUUGAACCGCAUGGUUCAAUAGUGAAAGACGGUUUUGCUGUCACUUAUAGAUGGAUCCGCGCCGCAUUAGCUAGUUGGUAAGGUAACGGCUUACCAAGGCAACGAUGCGUAGCCGACCUGAGAGGGUGAUCAGCCACACUGGAACUGAGACACGGUCCAGACUCCUACGGGAGGCAGCAGUAGGGAAUCUUCCGCAAUGGGCGAAAGCCUGACGGAGCAACGCCGCGUGAGUGAUGAAGGUCUUCGGAUCGUAAAACUCUGUUAUUAGGGAAGAACAAAUGUGUAAUUAACUAUGCACGUCUUGACGGUACCUAAUCAGAAAGCCACGGCUAACUACGUG